GACGAACGCUGGCGGCGUGCUUAACACAUGCAAGUCGAACGGACAUCAGGGGUUUACUCCUGGUGUUAGUGGCGGACGGGUGAGUAACACGUGAGCAACCUACCUUACACAGGGGGAUAACACUUAGAAAUAGGUGCUAAUACCGCAUAAGACCACAGUAUCGCAUGGUACAGGGGUAAAAGCUGAGGCGGUGUAAGAUGGGCUCGCGUCCCAUUAGCUAGUUGGUGAGGGUAACGGCCCACCAAGGCUGCGAUGGGUAGCCGACCUGAGAGGGUGAUCGGCCACACUGGAACUGAGAUACGGUCCAGACUCCUACGGGAGGCAGCAGUGGGGAAUAUUGGGCAAUGGAGGAAACUCUGACCCAGCAACGCCGCGUGAAGGAUGAAGGUCUUCGGAUUGUAAACUUCUGUUGUUAGGGACGAAGAAUGACGGUACCUAACGAGAAAGCCCCGGCUAACUACGUGCCAGCCGCCGCAGUAAAAC
RNAcentral lists this ribosomal RNA (483 nucleotides) under uncultured bacterium. RNAcentral's name for it is "partial 16S ribosomal RNA". It matches the Rfam family "Bacterial small subunit ribosomal RNA", at positions 28 to 526 of the family's 1533-position model. The record is from RNAcentral.